AUACAGCUGACGAGUCCCAAGCAGGACGAUAUGCUCAUCCUGAAU
Molecule: non-coding RNA, 45 nt
Filed under: Trichobilharzia regenti
Lineage: Eukaryota; Metazoa; Platyhelminthes; Trematoda; Strigeidida; Schistosomatidae
Source: RNAcentral